AGGAGGCGCGGGGAGAGUAGGGUGCUGUGGUCUGAGCUAGAGGGUGAAGCCGGCUGUGCAGGAGGAUGGGCGAGCAGUCUGAAUGCCAGAAUGGAUAACCGUUUUGCUACAGCGUUUGUUAUUGCUUGUGUGCUUAGCCUCAUUUCCACCAUCUACAUAACAGCCUCCAUUGGCACAGACUUCUGGUAUGAAUAUCGAAGUCCAGUUCAAGAAAAUUCCAGUGAUUUGAAUAAAAGCAUCUGGGAUGAAUUCGUUAGUGAUGAGGCAGAUGAAAAGACUUAUAAUGAUGCACUUUUUCGAUACAAUGGCACAGUGGGAUUGUGGAGACGGUAUAUCAUCAUAUCCAAAAACAUGCAUUGGUAUAGCCCACCACAAAGGACAGAGUCAUUUGAUGUGGUCACAAAAUGUGUGAGUUUCACACUGACGGAGCAGUUCAUGGAGAAAUUUGUUGGUCCCGGAAACCACAAUAGCGGGAUUGAUCUACUUAGGACCUAUCUGUGGCGUUGCCAGUUCCUUCUGCCUUUUGUGAGUUUAGGUUUGAUGUGCUUCGGGGCUUUGAUUGGACUUUGUGCUUGCAUUUGCCGAAGCUUAUAUCCCACCGUCGCCAAGGGCAUUCUCCAUCUCCUUGCAGGUCUGUGUACACUGGGCUCAGUAAGUUGUUAUGUUGCUGGAAUUGAACUACUCCACCAGAAACUAGAGCUCCCUGACAAUGUAUCGGGUGAAUUUGGAUGGUCCUUCUGCCUGGCUUGUGUCUCAGCUCCCUUACAGCUCAUGGCUUCUGCUCUCUUCAUCUGGGCUGCUCACACCAACCGGAAAGAGUACACAUUAAUGAAGGCAUAUCGUGUGGCCUCAGCAAGAAACUGCCUGCUUUACAAUUGCCAUUUUAUUUUUUUAAAAUACUUUCCUCACCUCCUUCUCAGUUGUUUUUAAUUUUUAUUUUAUUUGUGGAUAUACCAUUUUAUUAUGAAAAUCUAUUUUAUUUAUACUCAUACACCACUAAAUACACACUUAAUACCACUAAAAUUUAUGUGGUUUACUUUAAGUGAUGCCAUCUUUCAAAUAAACUAAUAUAGGUCUAGACAGAAAGAAAUGGAUAGAGACUUGACACAUAUUUAUGAAAGAUAAUUGGCAGAGGAAUUUGACCCAAACAAGUUCUGCUAAUGUCUGUUAGACUUUUCUGUAAAACUAAAGUAACUAUCUAUUCAACUGAAAACUCUCUAAUAAUUUCUCUGGGAAACCUCUCAUCAUUGUCCAAACUUCAUGUUCACUUUGCUGUUGUAGAUAGCCAGUCAGCCAGCAGUAUUAGUGCUACUUUCAAAGACUUAAGCAUUAUAAAAUUGGGAAAUUAUCUAAUAUCAUUUUCCCUAAGCAUUGGCACAUAGCUUCAUCUGAGGUGAGAUAUGGCAGCUGUUUAUAUCUGCACUGGUGUCUGUCUACAAAAAGUGAAAAAUACAAUGUUUACUCGAAAUUUUCACUUUGUAACUGCAAGAAUUCCAAUUCAGCCAGACAAGGAUUAUUAUUUUUAACUCUCCAUAAAAUUUUUAGUACCACCAAAUCAUUUGGGAUGUUUUUCCUUUCCUCUUCACAUACCAGGGUUAUUCAAAGUGUGCUUUCUUUUUAACUUAUAUUACAGUUACAAAGUAACAUUCCCCAACUGCUAUUUAGUUACUCUAGCCCAGUACCAUAAAGAACGGUUCACCAUAAUGACCCUCCAGAGCUGGGAAACC
RNA transcript from Sapajus apella (tufted capuchin), 1727 nucleotides. It is a transcript of the gene named claudin domain-containing protein 1 pseudogene, with no coding region annotated. The record is from RefSeq and is a predicted model, not a curated record. The transcript has a single exon. Lineage: Eukaryota; Metazoa; Chordata; Mammalia; Primates; Cebidae.